This 649-nucleotide ribosomal RNA is filed under the name uncultured fungus. RNAcentral's name for it is "eukaryotic LSU rRNA". The stretch from base 259 to 413 matches the Rfam family "5.8S ribosomal RNA". The record is from RNAcentral. RNAcentral also lists the same sequence under 1 other name. Lineage: Eukaryota; Fungi.
GAUUCUAUUCUGAAUUUGAAUCUGAAGAGGUAGAGAGACUGUGGCUGGCCGUCGAUACAAGACUGCAUGUGCACGUCCCCUCACCUUUUCUAAUUCUAAUUCUAUCUACACACACCUGUGCAUCUAUUGUAGAUCCCCCUUUGAAAGAGGGAGGGAACUAUGCUUUUUAUCACAUCACACAUAAUGGAUGUCCAGAAUGGAAUGGAAUUUCAUCGAUCAUUGAUUUGAUCAACGAUGAAAACAAAUGAAAUGGAAUACAACUUUCAGCAACGGAUCUCUUGGCUCUCGCAUCGAUGAAGAACGCAGCGAAUUGCGAUAAGUAAUGGGAAUUGCAGAUUUCCAGUGAAUCAUCGAAUCUUUGAACGCACCUUGCGCUCCUUGGUAUUCCGAGGAGCAUGCCUGUUUGAGUGUCAUUUAAUUCUCAACCAUUCUACUGGUCUUCUUUCUUGGAUUGAUCUUGAUCUAUGAGAGGAGAGGGGGAAGUAUGGCUUGGAGUUGGGGGUUGCUGGCAGGAACUGUCAGCUCUCCUUAAAUGCAUUAACAAUCGAGUUGGCUAGUCUUUGACGUGCACGGCUUCAGACGUGAUAAUGAUCGUCUUAACUGGAGUGUCUUUUCUAGACUAUGGUACAUAGUAGAUUGCUUCUAAUCA